RNAcentral lists this ribosomal RNA (506 nucleotides) under uncultured bacterium. RNAcentral's name for it is "partial 16S ribosomal RNA". It matches the Rfam family "Bacterial small subunit ribosomal RNA", at positions 29 to 523 of the family's 1533-position model. The record is from RNAcentral.
AGUGAACGCUGGCGGUAGGCCUAACACAUGCAAGUCGAACGGCAGCACAGGAGAGCUUGCUCUCUGGGUGGCGAGUGGCGGACGGGUGAGGAAUACAUCGGAAUCUACUUUUUCGUGGGGGAUAACGUAGGGAAACUUACGCUAAUACCGCAUACGACCUACGGGUGAAAGCAGGGGACCUUCGGGCCUUGCGCGAUUGAAUGAGCCGAUGUCGGAUUAGCUAGUUGGCGGGGUAAAGGCCCACCAAGGCGACGAUCCGUAGCUGGUCUGCGAGGAGGAUCAGCCACACUGGUACUGAGACACGGUCCAGACGCCUACGGGAGGCAGCAGUGGGGAAUAUUGGACAAUGGGCGCAAGCCUGAUCCAGCCAUACCGCGUGGGUGAAGAAGGCCUUCGGGUUGUAAAGCACUUUUGUUGGGAAAGAAAUCCAGCUGGUUAAUACCCGGCUGGGAUGACGGUACCCAAAGAAUAAGCACCGGCUAACUUCGUGCCAGCCGCCGCCGUAA